This 24-nucleotide non-coding RNA is filed under the name Arabidopsis thaliana (thale cress). The record is from RNAcentral. Lineage: Eukaryota; Viridiplantae; Streptophyta; Magnoliopsida; Brassicales; Brassicaceae.
ACUAAAAUGCUGACGAAUGGAUAC